RNAcentral lists this ribosomal RNA (883 nucleotides) under Clitopilus crispus. RNAcentral describes it as "partial large subunit ribosomal RNA". It matches the Rfam family "Eukaryotic large subunit ribosomal RNA", at positions 56 to 958 of the family's 3401-position model. Lineage: Eukaryota; Fungi; Basidiomycota; Agaricomycetes; Agaricales; Entolomataceae. The record is from RNAcentral.
AAGAACUAACAAGGAUUCCCCUAGUAACUGCGAGUGAAGCGGGAAAAGCUCAAAUUUAAAAUCUGGUAGUUUCACUGCCCGAGUUGUAAACUAGAGAAGCGUUAUCCGCGCUGGACCGUGUAUAAGUCUCCUGGAAUGGAGCGUCAUAGAGGGUGAGAAUCCCGUCUUUGACACGGACUACCAGGGCUUUGUGAUGCGCUCUCAAAGAGUCGAGUUGUUUGGGAAUGCAGCUCUAAAUGGGUGGUAAAUUCCAUCUAAAGCUAAAUAUUGGCGAGAGACCGAUAGCGAACAAGUACCGUGAGGGAAAGAUGAAAAGAACUUUGGAAAGAGAGUUAAACAGUACGUGAAAUUGUUGAAAGGGAAACGCUUGAAGUCAGUCGCGUCGGCUAGGAAUCAGCCUUGCUUUUGCUUGGUGUACUUUCUAGUCGACGGGUCAGCAUCAGUUUUGAUCGGUGGAAAAAGGCCAGCGGAAUGUGGCACCUUCGGGUGUGUUAUAGCUGCUGGUUGUAUACAUCGGUUGGGACUGAGGAACUAGCACUCUGUGUUUUAGAUGCUGGCAUAAUGGCUUUAAUCGACCCGUCUUGAAACACGGACCAAGGAGUCUAACAUGCCUGCGAGUGUUUGGGUGGAAAACCCGAGCGCGUAAUGAAAGUGAAAGUUGAGAUCCCUGUCGUGGGGAGCAUCGACGCCCGGACCAGACCUUUUGUGACGGAUCCGCGGUAGAGCAUGUAUGUUGGGACCCGAAAGAUGGUGAACUAUGCCUGAAUAGGGUGAAGCCAGAGGAAACUCUGGUGGAGGCUCGUAGCGAUUCUGACGUGCAAAUCGAUCGUCAAAUUUGGGUAUAGGGGCGAAAGACUAAUCGAACCAUCUAGUAGCUGGUUCU